Long non-coding RNA from Danaus plexippus (monarch butterfly), 636 nucleotides. RefSeq lists it as uncharacterized. NCBI's taxonomy places the organism in Eukaryota, Metazoa, Arthropoda, Insecta, Lepidoptera, Nymphalidae. The record is from RefSeq and is a predicted model, not a curated record. The transcript is spliced from 2 exons.
UUUACAAAAAAUCAUCCAAUAUGCUGAGAGUGGCCAGCCUAACUGCUAAUUUCUCACUAUUAAAUAUAAAUUUCUGCUGACUGCUUUUUUGUUUCGGUUUUUGAUGUUUGGUCUUGAUAAUAAAGUUUGUUCAAUAAUUUUUACUUUUUAGUUGUUAAUUUAUUAUUAUUCUUUCCAUGUUGCUUGAGGCUGAAUUAUGUCAACGUAUUAACCAGGCGUUUGUGGUGGUGUCAUGUGACUGUAGUUGAGGAUCAUCCCUCCAUCAUCAGGAGGUGACGGCUGAUCAUCAAGUGUUAGAUGAAGAGUAACAAUGAAUCAGGUUAAGGUAAACCCAUUGCUCAUGACUUCAUCGGUAGGGAUCUUUUUUUUAAUUUUUUCAUACUUUAUUCAUACAAAUCAAUAAAUUACCAAACUAAGUUACCUAUUAUUGAAUUAGUUGUCCGAUAGUGAGUUUCAUCAUGAUUGGUCCAGCUGUUACAGAGGUUAUCUGUUACAGACAGACGGACAAUAAUGAAAAUGAAUGAUCGAAGUAAAAAGCUGUCAUUUUAUUAUAGCAAACAGACGCUACCGUUUCAUUAGGAUAAAUGUAUAGUUUUAUGACAUUUGAUGUGAAAUAAAAAUAUUUUUGAUAUAAAA